AGCGAACGCUGGCGGAAUGCUUAACACAUGCAAGUCGCACGGGGGGCUUCGGCCUUAGUGGCGGACGGGUGAGUAACGCGUAGGAAUGUGUCCGAGGGUGGGGGAUAACGUUGGGAAACUGACGCUAAUACCGCAUAUCCCCUGAGGGGGAAAGCAGAGAUGCGCCCACGGAGCAGCCUGCGUCCGAUUAGCUAGUUGGUUAGGUAAAGGCUGACCAAGGCGACGAUCGGUAGCUGGUCUGAGAGGAUGAUCAGCCACACUGGAACUGAGACACGGUCCAGACUCCUACGGGAGGCAGCAGUGGGGAAUAUUGGACAAAUGGGCGCAAGCCUGAUCCAGCAAUUCCGCGUGGGUGAAGAAAGGUCUUCGGAUUGUAAAGCCCUUUCGUUGGGACGAUGAUGACGGUACCCAAAGAAGAAAGCCCCGGCUAAACUUCGUGCC
Molecule: ribosomal RNA, 441 nt
Filed under: uncultured bacterium
Lineage: Bacteria
Description: bacterial SSU rRNA
Rfam family: Bacterial small subunit ribosomal RNA
Source: RNAcentral